UGUGACAUACCUAAAACGUUGCUUCGGCGGGAACAGACGGCCCUGUAACAACGGGCCGCCCCCGCCAGAGGACCCCUAACUCUGUUUUUAUAAUGUUUUUCUGAGUAAACAAGCAAAUAAAUUAAAACUUUCAACAACGGAUCUCUUGGCUCUGGCAUCGAUGAAGAACGCAGCGAAAUGCGAUAAGUAAUGUGAAUUGCAGAAUUCAGUGAAUCAUCGAAUCUUUGAACGCACAUUGCGCCCGCCAGUAUUCUGGCGGGCAUGCCUGUUCGAGCGUCAUUACAACCCUCAGGCCCCCGGGCCUGGCGUUGGGGAUCGGCGGAAGCCCCCUGUGGGCACACGCCGUCCCUCAAAUACAGUGGCGGUCCCGCCGCAGCUUCCAUUGCGUAGUAGCUAACACCUCGCAACUGGAGAGCGGCGCGGCCAUGCCGUAAAACACCCAACUUCUGAAUGUUGACCUCGAAUCAGGUAGGAAUACCCGCUGAACUUAAGCAUAUC
RNAcentral lists this ribosomal RNA (498 nucleotides) under Fusarium sp. BJ9. RNAcentral describes it as "eukaryotic LSU rRNA". The stretch from base 126 to 279 matches the Rfam family "5.8S ribosomal RNA". The record is from RNAcentral. Lineage: Eukaryota; Fungi; Ascomycota; Sordariomycetes; Hypocreales; Nectriaceae.